Non-coding RNA from Phrynosoma platyrhinos (Desert horned lizard), 72 nucleotides. The record is from the annotation of a GenBank genome assembly. Lineage: Eukaryota; Metazoa; Chordata; Lepidosauria; Squamata; Phrynosomatidae.
GCCAGUGUGGCAUAGUGUUUUGAAUGUUGGAUUAAGACUCUGGGGACCAGGGUUUGAUUCCCUGCUUGGCCA